AGAGUUUGAUCCUGGCUCAGAACGUACGCUGGCGGCACGCCUAACACAUGCAAGUCGAACGAAGUAGCAAUACUUAGUGGCAGACGGGUGAGUAACAUGUAGGUAUCUGCCCUUUGGCCUGGAAUAACACGAGGAAACUUGUGCUAAUACCGGAUAAGUCUUUACGGAGAAAGCUUUAUGCACCAUUGGAUGAGCCUGCACUUGAUUAGUUUGUUGGUGGGGUAAUGGCCUACCAAGACUGUGAUCAAUAGCUGAUUUGAGAGGAUGAUCAGCCACAUUGGGACUGAGACACGGCCCAAACUCCUACGGGAGGCAGCAGUGGGGAAUCUUGCACAAUGGAGGAAACUCUGAUGCAGCGAUGCCGCGUGAGUGAAGAAGGCCUUUGGGUUGUAAAGCUCUUUCGUCGGGGAAGAAAAUGACUGUACCCGAAUAAGAAGGUCCGGCUAACUUCGUGCCAGCAGCCGCGGUAAUACGAAGGGACCUAGCGUAGUUCGGAAUUACUGGGCUUAAAGAGUUCGUAGGUGGUUGAAAAAGUUGGUGGUGAAAUCCCAGAGCUUAACUCUGGAACUGCCAUCAAAACUUUUCAGCUAGAGUAUGAUAGAGGAAAGCAGAAUUUCUAGUGUAGAGGUGAAAUUCGUAGAUAUUAGAAAGAAUACCAAUUGCGAAGGCAGCUUUCUGGAUCAUUACUGACACUGAGGAACGAAAGCAUGGGUAGCGAAGAGGAUUAGAUACCCUCGUAGUCCAUGCCGUAAACGAUGUGUGUUAGACGUUGGAAAUUUAUUUUCAGUGUCGCAGCGAAAGCGAUAAACACACCGCCUGGGGAGUACGACCGCAAGGUUAAAACUCAAAUGAAUUGACGGGGACCCGCACAAGUAGUGGAGCAUGUGGUUUAAUUCGAAGAUACGCGCAGAACCUUACCAACACUUGACAUGUUCGUCGCGACUCUAAGAGAUUAGAGUUUUCGGUUCGGCCGGACGAAACACAGGUGCUGCAUGGCUGUCGUCAGCUCGUGUCGUGAGAUGUUGGGUUAAGUCCCGCAACGAGCGCAACCCUCACUUUUAGUUGCCAUCAUUAAGUUGGGCACUCUGAAAGAACUGCCAGUGAUAAGCUGGAGGAAGGUGGGG
Molecule: ribosomal RNA, 1124 nt
Filed under: uncultured bacterium
Lineage: Bacteria
Description: bacterial SSU rRNA
Rfam family: Bacterial small subunit ribosomal RNA
Source: RNAcentral